UACGUAGGGGGCUAGCGUUGUCCGGAAUCAUUGGGCGUAAAGCGCGUGUAGGCGGUUCGGUAAGUCCGCUGUGAAAGUCGGGGGCUCAACCCUCGGAUGCCGGUGGAUACUGUCGGGCUAGAGUACGGAAGAGGCGAGUGGAAUUCCUGGUGUAGCGGUGGAAUGCGCAGAUAUCAGGAGGAACACCAAUAGCGAAGGCAGCUCGCUGGGACGUUACUGACACUGAGGCGCGAAAGCGUGGGGAGCGAACAGG
This 253-nucleotide ribosomal RNA is filed under the name uncultured bacterium. RNAcentral describes it as "partial 16S ribosomal RNA". It matches the Rfam family "Bacterial small subunit ribosomal RNA", at positions 524 to 776 of the family's 1533-position model. The record is from RNAcentral.